GAGCGACUCCCCAGUCUGCCCGCCCUUUCAGCUCCGCUCCAGAUUUAUGAGGUUGCAGUGUUUCCCACAAAUCCGAUUUAACUCGGAGGAUAUCAGGCGAAGGAAUGUUCCUUAUAUUUAGGCUCUUAAGCAGAAAGCAGACCUCUAUUUGGGGAGCCGUCUUUGGAUUACGGUCUCCUCACAGCCACGAAUAAAGGUGCUAAACUUGGGUGCAGACAAUGAUGCUGCAGAAUCCGGGCAAGGCUGGGAUCAGUAGGAGGUGACGUCUCUAACUCAGUGAGCGCCACAAACACUGUGUUCGAUACUUUUCUUCUAUUGUUUGAACCCAGUCUGGAGACAUUGCUUUGCUGACUAUUGACAAAACAGCCCUGAAUCCUGAGAUCAAAGGUGUUGCUUCAACUCAAAAAACACCAUAUCCAUCCUCCAACUGAUCAAAGAGGGGACCUGUCUAUGUGAUACAAACCCAGAUCCAAAUGAGGAAAAGUGGCAAGAAAAGGAGGUUCAGUCAGUCCCCAGUUUGUCUAUUUCUGUAAAACAAAGGGAAUCCAUUGGAAACAUGAGGCUAUAGCUCUGGCUGACUUUGAGUAAGACCAAAUUGAAGUCUUAAGGUCAGAGGCUUCCAGGCUCUGAAAAAAGGGAACUUAAUCCUGUUGGUUUGUACGGUGUCCUUGGCCUUGUCAUUCCUCUCUGAGCCCAAGCAGCUGCAGGUGACAGAUUGAUUUGUAGAUUGCUUUGAAGAUCUUUUUUUGGGGGGGAGUGAGGGGGUAGUUGGGGUGGAGAAGAGACCAAAAACCCAAGCACACAGAUCAUAUAGAAACAGAUGCUACUCAUGUGGUCAGCAGGGAGAUAUCAAGUGGAUGAAGAAUCUUAGGAGGUGAAGACUGGUCUGAGAUUUCAUCUGGUUUGUCCAACUAUAAAAUGGGAACAAUGAACCUUAUUCUCUGACCUACUUGAUUGGAAAUCAGCCUUCCAUAAACAUGCACAGGGCAGCUUAUUCUAGGUUUAUCAGAGAGGGAUUGCGAUAGAGGAGGUGUAGGAGUUUCUAUCUCUUCCAUUCAGUGAACUCCCAUUCCCCAAGGUAGCAAUGACAACUGUACUUUCUAAUUCUCUCAGAUUUGUGCCAUUCAUCCAAGAAGCUCAAAUGUAAUAAUUAAUAACUGUUUAUAUACUAUUUUAAGGAGUAUACUUUAUAUACAUUAUCAUUUUUGAUGCUUCAAUGACCUCCAAAAAUAAAACCCGAAGGUCUCCCAAAUGGCAAUAGAAAGAUACAAGAUGGAUGUAAGUAGGCUGCCCAGUCCAUGACCAGUGGUUAUUUGUACUUGGAGAAAUAGUGUAAAUGACUUAAGAAGUAGGGAUGGGCUAGCUAGGUGGCUCAGUGGAUAGAUAGCCAGGCCUGGAAAUGGGAGGUUCUGGGCUCAAAUGUGGCUUCAGAUACUUCCUAGCUGUGUGACCCUGGGCAAGUCCCUUAACCCCCAUUGCCUAGUCCUUACUACUCUUCUGCCUUGGAACAAAUACUUAGUAUUGAUUCUAAGACAAAAAGUAAAGGUUAAAAAAAAGAAGUAGGGAAAGAUCUGAGCUGGUCAUAUAGCAAGAAAGGAUAGGAGAUAAGCCCAAGUUCUUCUCUGUUACUAAUAAAAUUAAAAAAAAAAAAGACCUAGAAGUUGGGCUGUAGCAUACUGGAUAGAUCCUCUCAUGGUACAUUAAUAGAAAAAUGAUUACCCAGGAAGAGAGGACAAGUCACAAUCUUGAAAGGUAGGUAAUGCAAGCAUUGUUUUAUAGAUGAAGAAACUGAGGCUUCACAAUGUGGGGUAACUUGCCUAAGCCUCCCAGUUAGUAAAUGGCAGAGCUAAGAUCUGAUUCUAGGUGUUCCCAUUCCAAGUCAUAGGCUCAUCUAUUUAUUGCUGGAAGGGAACUUAGAGAUCAUUUUACAGAUAAGGAAACUGAGGAUAAGAAAGGUUAAGUAACUUGCCCAAAUUCAUUAGAUAGGAAUUAUCAGAGCUGGGAUUUGAACUCGGGUCCUCUGUCUCCAAUUGCAAUGAUCAUUAUACUAUCUUGAACUGACUCUCACAGAGUGCAUUUUUCUACAAAGAGUUUGUAGGUAGUUAAGAGGAGGGAAUUCUCCCUGCCCUCUCUCAGCUAAAAUGGCAUCUCUCCCUCCUCAUAUGUUCCUUUAAGUUACAGAGGUCUUAUCGAACUGUUUUGGUGGAGGGAGUUUCUCUGCUGGGUGGUUCCUGUACUGAUAUGAUCCUAAGACUUGACAAAAAUUAAAGUACAAACAUUUUGUAUCUC
Monodelphis domestica (gray short-tailed opossum) is the source of this 2289-nucleotide long non-coding RNA. RefSeq lists it as uncharacterized. The record is from RefSeq and is a predicted model, not a curated record. NCBI's taxonomy places the organism in Eukaryota, Metazoa, Chordata, Mammalia, Didelphimorphia, Didelphidae.